Molecule: ribosomal RNA, 519 nt
Filed under: uncultured eukaryote
Lineage: Eukaryota
Description: SSU rRNA
Rfam family: Eukaryotic small subunit ribosomal RNA
Source: RNAcentral
AGGGCACCACCAGGAGUGGAGCCUGCGGCUUAAUUUGACUCAACACGGGGAAACUUACCCGGCCUGGACACUGGAAGGAUUGACAGAUUGAGAGCUCUUUCUUGAUUCAGUGGGUGGUGGUGCAUGGCCGUUCUUAGUUGGUGGAGCGAUUUGUCUGGCUAAUUCCGAUAACGAACGAGACUCUAGCCUAUUAAAUAGGCUCUCGGCUUUUAAACGCCGGGAGGACUUCUUAGAGGGACAGGUGGCGGUUCAGCCGCACGAAAGAGAGCAAUAACAGGUCUGUGAUGCCCUUUGUUGUCCGGGGCCGCACGCGCGCUACACUGAAGAGAUCAGCGUGCUUUACGUUCCUGCUCCGACCGGAGUGGGGAACCCAGUGAACCUUCUUCGUGAUUGGGAUAGAAGAUUGUAAUUAUUCUUCUUGAACGAGGAAUUCCCAGUAAAUGCGAGUCAUAAGCUCGCGUUGAUUACGUCCCUGCCCUUUGUACACACCGCCCGUCGCUACUACCGAUUGAACGAUUU